GACGAACGCUGGCGGCGUGCUUAACACAUGCAAGUCGAACGGAAAGGCCCUGCUUUUGUGGGGUGCUCGAGUGGCGAACGGGUGAGUAACACGUGAGUAACCUGCCCUUGACUUUGGGAUAACUUCAGGAAACUGGGGCUAAUACCGGAUAGGAGCUCCUGCUGCAUGGUGGGGGUUGGAAAGUUUCGGCGGUUGGGGAUGGACUCGCGGCUUAUCAGCUUGUUGGUGGGGUAGUGGCUUACCAAGGCUUUGACGGGUAGCCGGCCUGAGAGGGUGACCGGCCACAUUGGGACUGAGAUACGGACCAGACUCGUACGGGAGGCAGCAGUGGGGAAUAUUGCACAGUGGGCGGAAGCCUGAUGAAGCAACGCCGCGUGCGGGAUGACGGCCUUCGGGUUGUAAACCGCUUUCGCUUGUGACGAAGCGUGAGUGACGGUAAUGGGUAAAGAAGCACCGGCUAACUACGUG
This 468-nucleotide ribosomal RNA is filed under the name uncultured bacterium. Its description in RNAcentral is "partial 16S ribosomal RNA". It matches the Rfam family "Bacterial small subunit ribosomal RNA", at positions 28 to 507 of the family's 1533-position model. The record is from RNAcentral.